Molecule: long non-coding RNA, 1307 nt
Organism: Beta vulgaris subsp. vulgaris (sugar beet)
Lineage: Eukaryota; Viridiplantae; Streptophyta; Magnoliopsida; Caryophyllales; Amaranthaceae
Exons: 2
Source: RefSeq, a predicted model, not a curated record
UGCGCGACGGUUGGAAUUCUGAAGGUAAUUACCAUCCUCAUUGCCGCGCUUUUUAUCGGCUAUAUUGUUGACGUCGUCUAAUUUUCUUUGUAUUUGCAGAGGGUGCUCCAACUGCCUGUCGAAGACUCUCUCUACUCAAAAACAAAAGUCAAUAGGUUGUUAAAGAAUUACUCCAUCCAAGAACGGACGUUUAGGAACAACUUCAAGCUUCCAGCGUCUGACGGUGACAUUCUGCCCCAGUCCACCGACGAACAUACUAACACCACCAUCGAGCCUACCAACAACAUAUCUCCCUCCAUGGCAUCAGAAAACACCAUGUCUACCAGGUCAAAGACACCAACUGUAGCCCUAUCUGAAGCAGAAAUGUUGGAACGGGCCAAGAAGAGGCAAUCUGCUAGCAGCCUGGCCAUGACGUCAUCGCCUAUGAACGCUCCCAAAGUCGCCAGGAAAGCCAGUUGAACUGACGCCCCUAAAGUCCCCAGGACGCCACUACAAGAGGGAGAGACUUUCACCAUUAGUCUCCCCAGGAAUUUCUGCGAGAUUACUGCGCCGACUAUUUUCCCGUCGGCAGAGAAGUUGGCUUUUCCUGCUCCUCAACGUCGCCUAGCUAGCCUUCCCUUGGCGACGGUUGCGAAUGAAGGACUGGCUCUGCAAAUUCUAUAAGACAUCUGGCAUAUAUUAUAGUAAUUGUAUUUAUAAAAUUUUACUUACUGACGACGACCGUCCAUGUAGGCCGUCCAAAACUCAUUGGCUUUGCGUUCCCCCGCCCUCACUUUGGAGAAGGAGUGCAAGACUUUACGCGAGAAAUUAGAGAGAUCUACUACGGCCCUAACGGCGGAGAAGAAUGUGUCAGGUCUUUCCGCGAAUUUGGCCAAGGAGAAAAAGCAGAAUGCCGACUACGCGGCUGACAUGGCGUCGCUAAAGGAAGAGACGGGCGCCGUGGUGGCAAGCCUUUGUGAGGAGCUAGUGGACGCUGCUAGCCGUUAUACCUGGAAGACCAAGGCUAGGUUGAUGAAGCAGUUCAUGGAGGGACAAACGUCAACAUGGACUCCUGAAGCGGACGUCAGGCAGUUUCUAGAGGUGUUUGGGACUCCUGAAACGGACGUCAGGCAGUUUCUAGAGAGAGUCUUCGACAGGCAGUGGAGCACCCUUGCAAAUACAAAGAAAAUUAGACAACGUCAACAAUAUACCCGAUAAAAAACGCGGCAAGAAGGAUGGUAAGUACCUUAAGAAUUCCAACCGUCGCGCAAGAAGUCGAAGUUUUUUCCCAAGGAUUUCUUAUUUACAAAAAAGUAUCUCUUCUUCCA